Molecule: long non-coding RNA, 461 nt
Organism: Mus musculus (house mouse)
Lineage: Eukaryota; Metazoa; Chordata; Mammalia; Rodentia; Muridae
Product: RIKEN cDNA 2410006H16 gene
Exons: 5
Source: RefSeq, marked validated
CUCUGCGGCCAUCAUGGGAUCGUGCUCUUCUCGCUCGUUGAGCUGGUCCCUUCGCCGUGGCCUGCUGGUGACGGUCUGGAGCGAUGCUGAGCCCGGGCCCAGCCUCUCAGCUCCGCCUUGUGCGCUGCACAGAUCUAGGGGAGCCUGACGGGACGUUGACAACGUGGAAUAGGAGCAGUAUCAUCCCACCAUGAGGUUGGGGAUUUAAGAGUGGAAGAUUGCCAACAGCUGUGGCCUCCCAUGAGGGUGUCCCCUUUCAAGUUCUCAGAACGGACGCAGGACUGCAGAUCUGUGCUGGCAGCAGCAGAGGCUAUAUUCCCAGAGGAGUCUCCAGCCGGCCUGAAAGCAAAUAUCCUAAGUGACAUGUCUGCCAAUUUUGUUCUGGGUGGGCACAUUUGGUAAUCCUGUCUGUACCACAGGAUCUUCUAUGCCUUUUAAAAAUAAACAUUUGUUUAUAAACC